UAGUCUCCUCGUUUGUAAAAUGAGAGUUAAAAUCUACCUCAUGGAAUCAUUGCUAAGAUUAAGCAAGAUAUAUAAGUAGAGCUUGUGCACAUGGUAGGUACUUGGAGAAUGUUAUUUCUCCUUCCCUCUUACUCAUCUGGACAAGUUUAACUAGAAUUCUAAACAGUUAAAUAUGUAUCAAUCCUUUGUAUUAAAUAUCUUGAUGGUAAAAUGUUAAAAUAUUGAUGUGAAUAACAGCUGGUAUUGAAUAUUCAAAUUAGGGGAACUCUUUCAUUGUUUUAAGAUAACAUCUGUACAUUUAAUCUGUGCCAUGCAAUAAAACAGCUUUUCCUGAAACAGCUUUUUAAAAACUAUUUUUAAGAAAUUCAUAAGUUACUUUUAAGAACAUUAGCUUAGAACAUCUUCCCCUUUCACAACAAAUUAGACAUUAGAGCCAAAAUUGCCCAAAUUGGUAUAGUUUCUAUCUCCCUACACUUUAAUCAAGAUGUUUGUCUUUAUAUCAGCAAAAACCGCUACUUAAGUGAGAUUCCUGCAUCCCAAUAAAUGUAUCUGGGCAUUUGGUACUUGAGAGAGGAUUGGGUUUGACAAC
Molecule: long non-coding RNA, 589 nt
Filed under: Homo sapiens (human)
Lineage: Eukaryota; Metazoa; Chordata; Mammalia; Primates; Hominidae
Description: LHRI_LNC1675.1
Source: RNAcentral